Molecule: ribosomal RNA, 495 nt
Filed under: uncultured bacterium
Lineage: Bacteria
Description: partial 16S ribosomal RNA
Rfam family: Bacterial small subunit ribosomal RNA
Source: RNAcentral
GAUGAACGCUGGCGGCGUGCCUAAUACAUGCAAGUAGAACGCUGAAGGAGGAGCUUGCUCUUCUGGAUGAGUUGCGAACGGGUGAGUAACGCGUAGGUAACCUGCCUGGUAGCGGGGGAUAACUAUUGGAAACGAUAGCUAAUACCGCAUGACAACAGUUAUUGCAUGAUAACUGUUUAAAAGGGGCAACUGCUCCACUACCAGAUGGACCUGCGUUGUAUUAGCUAGUUGGUGAGGUAACGGCUCACCAAGGCGACGAUACAUAGCCGACCUGAGAGGGUGAUCGGCCACACUGGGACUGAGACACGGCCCAGACUCCUACGGGAGGCAGCAGGAGGGAAUCUUCGGCAAUGGACGGAAGUCUGACCGAGCAACGCCGCGGGAGUGAAGAAGGUUUUCGGAUCGUAAAGCUCUGUUGUAAGAGAAGAACGAGUGUGAGAGUGGAAAGUUCACACUGUGACGGCAGCUUACCAGAAAGGGACGGCUAACUACGUG